RNAcentral lists this ribosomal RNA (207 nucleotides) under uncultured Acinetobacter sp. RNAcentral describes it as "partial 16S ribosomal RNA". It matches the Rfam family "Bacterial small subunit ribosomal RNA", at positions 568 to 774 of the family's 1533-position model. Lineage: Bacteria; Pseudomonadati; Pseudomonadota; Gammaproteobacteria; Moraxellales; Moraxellaceae. The record is from RNAcentral.
CGCGUAGGUGGCCAAUUAAGUCAAAUGUGAAAUCCCCGAGCUUAACUUGGGAAUUGCAUUCGAUACUGGUUGGCUAGAGUAUGGGAGAGGAUGGUAGAAUUCCAGGUGUAGCGGUGAAAUGCGUAGAGAUCUGGAGGAAUACCGAUGGCGAAGGCAGCCACCUGGCCUAAUACUGACACUGAGGUGCGAAAGCAUGGGGAGCAAACA